This 405-nucleotide ribosomal RNA is filed under the name Triticum aestivum (bread wheat). Its description in RNAcentral is "partial small subunit ribosomal RNA". The record is from RNAcentral. Lineage: Eukaryota; Viridiplantae; Streptophyta; Magnoliopsida; Poales; Poaceae.
AUGAUGAGCUGGAACUGUCGAGGCUUGGGUCAGCUUCGGAUAGUCCAAGAACUUGUGUGUCUCUCAAAGAUGCAUCGACCCAAUGUUAUCCUUCUUUCUGAAACUAGACAAAACAAAAAGUAUGUUGAGAGUUUGCGUUAUCGAUUGGGCUUGAAAUAUGUUUAUAUUGUUUCUGUACAAGGAAAAGGUGGGGGCUUGGCAGUUUUUUGGGAUGAGAAAUAUUCUCUUGAACUAAAUAAGUUUGGUGAUCAUUUUAUUGACAUGUACAUCAGCAAUGGAGAUGGAUCUAAAUGGAGAUGUACCUUCGUUUACGGGGAACCAAAGGCGAGCCAAAGGUACAUUAUGUGGGAUCUUUUGAGGCGGAUAAAACCUCUUGGCAUGGGUCCUUGGUUUUAUGGUGGGUGA